UGAGGAAUAUUGGUCAAUGGGCGCAAGCCUGAACCAGCCAUCCCGCGUGAAGGAAGAAUGCGCUAUGCGUUGUAAACUUCUUUUCCGGAGGAAUAAAAUGUUGUACGUGUACGACACUGAAGGUACUCCGGGAAUAAGCAUCGGCUAACUCCGUGCCAGCAGCCGCGGUAAUACGGAGGAUGCGAGCGUUAUCCGGAUUUAUUGGGUUUAAAGGGUGCGUAGGCGGAUUAAUAAGUCAGCGGUGAAAACCUUCAGCUUAACUGGAGACUUGCCAUUGAUACUGUUAGUCUUGAGUAUGGUUAAGGUAGGCGGAAUGUGUAAUGUAGCGGUGAAAUGCUUAGAUAUUACACAGAACACCAAUUGCGAAGGCAGCUUACUGAGCCACAACUGACGCUGAUGC
This 400-nucleotide ribosomal RNA is filed under the name uncultured bacterium. RNAcentral's name for it is "bacterial SSU rRNA". It matches the Rfam family "Bacterial small subunit ribosomal RNA", at positions 355 to 752 of the family's 1533-position model. The record is from RNAcentral.